UACGGAGGGUGCAAGCGUUAUCCGGAUUCACUGGGUUUAAAGGGUGCGUAGGCGGUUUAGAAAGUCCGUUGUGAAAUCUCUGAGCUUAACUCGGAAAUUGCGGUGGAUACGAUUAGUCUUGAAUACUGUGGAGGUUAGCGGAAUAUGUCAUGUAGCGGUGAAAUGCAUAGAUAUGACAUAGAACACCAAUUGCGAAGGCAGCUGGCUGCACAGAUAUUGACGCUGAGGCACGAAAGCGUGGGGAUCAAACAGG
RNAcentral lists this ribosomal RNA (253 nucleotides) under uncultured bacterium. Its description in RNAcentral is "partial 16S ribosomal RNA". It matches the Rfam family "Bacterial small subunit ribosomal RNA", at positions 524 to 776 of the family's 1533-position model. The record is from RNAcentral.